UGAUAGAAGACUUGCAAAUUCAAUCAUUACUUGAAUCUAUAACACACUGCUUUAUUAAUUUUAGUACUUCUCUUCAGGUUAUGCUAACUGCUCUUGGACUGGCCAAGGAGAUUGACGGAUCACGCAGAUCAAUUUCAAUGUGUGGAACAACAGAGUACAUGGCUCCGGAAAUCUAACUCGCUAAAGGCCACAAUGAAAACGCAGAUUGGUGGAGCGUCGGGAUUUUUUUCUAUGAGAUGCUUAGUGGCCAGGUAAUACAAUUGGUCAAGAAAGGGGGGGUUUAGUACCUUGUUCAAAAACCAUAUAUUUAUCACUCAUUUUUUAUUAUGUUUGGUAAUAUCUGAUGAAAUUGUGAGUGCAGUGUUAUAAAACUCAGUCUGCAGUGGAAUCUAAAGAUGGGUCUAAAAUGUUUUGUUGAUUGUGCAAACAAGAGGGAACUGCUUGAUUUUAGCUAUAUCCCCGGGUUUGUUGCUAGUGUUCAUGCAAAAAAUAUGAUCUUGUUCUUUCUUUUAAUUUUGACUCUGUCUCAUGACACCAUAACUAUUCUAUUCUUUUCAGCCACCAUUCACCCAUCCAAACAGAAAGAAGCUUCGGGAAAAAAUCAUGAAUGAAAAAAUGAAAUUUUUGUUGGAAUAUAGUGGCGUUAAUGAAAUCGAAUUAUCACGUGCUGUAUAUGUAGUUUAAACACCAAUUUUAAGCAUACCGUAUAUGCAUAUACUGUAUAUUGCGCUUACCGUGUUGGAAUAUAGUGGUGUUAAUGAAAUCGAAUUAUCACGUGCUGUAUGUGUAGUUUAAACACCAAAUUUAAGCAUACCGUAUAUACAUAUACUGUAUAUUGCGCUUACCGUAUUUGCAGGUAGCUUACCG
Molecule: long non-coding RNA, 867 nt
Filed under: Olea europaea subsp. europaea
Lineage: Eukaryota; Viridiplantae; Streptophyta; Magnoliopsida; Lamiales; Oleaceae
Source: RNAcentral